This 901-nucleotide ribosomal RNA is filed under the name uncultured Mycobacterium sp. RNAcentral describes it as "bacterial SSU rRNA". It matches the Rfam family "Bacterial small subunit ribosomal RNA", at positions 8 to 922 of the family's 1533-position model. Lineage: Bacteria; Bacillati; Actinomycetota; Actinomycetes; Mycobacteriales; Mycobacteriaceae. The record is from RNAcentral.
AGAGUUUGAUCAUGGCUCAGGAUGAACGCUGGCGGCGUGCUUAACACAUGCAAGUCGAACGGAAAGGCCCCUUCGGGGGUACUCGAGUGGCGAACGGGUGAGUAACACGUGGGUGAUCUGCCCUGCACUUUGGGAUAAGCCUGGGAAACUGGGUCUAAUACCGAAUAGGACUCCGGACUGCAUGGUCUGGGGUGGAAAGCUUUUGCGGUGUGGGAUGGGCCCGCGGCCUAUCAGCUUGUUGGUGGGGUGAUGGCCUACCAAGGCGACGACGGGUAGCCGGCCUGAGAGGGUGUCCGGCCACACUGGGACUGAGAUACGGCCCAGACUCCUACGGGAGGCAGCAGUGGGGAAUAUUGCACAAUGGGCGCAAGCCUGAUGCAGCGACGCCGCGUGAGGGAUGACGGCCUUCGGGUUGUAAACCUCUUUCGCCAGGGACGAAGCGCAAGUGACGGUACCUGGAGAAGAAGCACCGGCCAACUACGUGCCAGCAGCCGCGGUAAUACGUAGGGUGCGAGCGUUGUCCGGAAUUACUGGGCGUAAAGAGCUCGUAGGUGGUUUGUCGCGUUGUUCGUGAAAACUCACAGCUUAACUGUGGGCGUGCGGGCGAUACGGGCAGACUGGAGUACUGCAGGGGAGACUGGAAUUCCUGGUGUAGCGGUGGAAUGCGCAGAUAUCAGGAGGAACACCGGUGGCGAAGGCGGGUCUCUGGGCAGUAACUGACGCUGAGGAGCGAAAGCGUGGGGAGCGAACAGGAUUAGAUACCCUGGUAGUCCACGCCGUAAACGGUGGGUACUAGGUGUGGGUUUCCUUCCUUGGGAUCCGUGCCGUAGCUAACGCAUUAAGUACCCCGCCUGGGGAGUACGGCCGCAAGGCUAAAACUCAAAGGAAUUGACGGGGGCCC